RNAcentral lists this long non-coding RNA (979 nucleotides) under Homo sapiens (human). RNAcentral's name for it is "non-protein coding lnc-CFAP44-3:1". Lineage: Eukaryota; Metazoa; Chordata; Mammalia; Primates; Hominidae. The record is from RNAcentral.
GAGUAUGCGCGUGCGCACCGCUUUCGGGAGCUUUUGCACAGAGCUGGUAAUUGGGGGUGCUCGAUUGUAGCGUUGGGGGAGUUCACCGUGUAGCAGGAGAGAGGCAAACUAUCCAGGGUGCUUUGGGACCGGGAGCGUCAUUUAAAUCGAUGGAUGUCAGAGGGGCUUCUCAGAAGGCUCCUCCUAUGUCAUUUGUCAGAGUGAACCGCUGUGGUCCCCGAGUUGGUGUAAGAAAGACACCGAAAGUAAAGAAGAAGAAAACUUCAGUGAAACAAGAAUGGGAUAAUACCGUGACUGAUCUAACCGUUCAUCGGGCAACUCCCGAAGAUCUGGUACGCCGUCAUGAAAUACACAAAUCGAAGAAUAGAGCAUUAGUACACUGGGAACUCCAAGAAAAAGCUUUGAAGAGAAAAUGGAGGAAGCAGAAACCAGAAACUUUAAAUCUUGAGAAAAGAAGAUUGUCUAUCAUGAAGGAGGUAAUGCUAAACUGCAUUAGAGUUAGAAAGAAAAAAAGGAGAUAAAUAGGGUUCUUUGUUUUUCUUCAAUUUGAUUCACGUUGGAGAGACUCUAGUAAUCACUGCAUUCUUAUUCAAUAAUCUACAUGUGGACUUCAAAAAAAGCAACAGAGUGGUGACUGGAGUCUGGUUUGGUGGUUUGAAUUCCUGUUCUACUACUUACCAGCUGUGUGACCCUAAGUAAAUUAUUUAACUUUUCAGCCUGAAUUUUCUCAUAUUUAAAAUUAUUAUUUGCUUGUAUUGCUAUGAGAUUUCAGUGAUAUAAUACUUACAAAGUGAAUAGCACAAUCUUUGCUUAUUCCUCUUUUUGUAUAUAAGCUGCUAUAAUAAUUUUUCUCAGUAAAGUGAUUAGCACAAUCUUUUCUUAUUCCUCUUUUUAUAUAUAAGCUGCUAUAAUUAUUUUUCUCAGUUUAACAGCAGUGCUGUUAGGUUACUUUGAAAAAAAAAUGAUGUUGUAUGCUUGU